RNAcentral lists this transfer RNA (71 nucleotides) under Chelonia mydas (Green sea turtle). It matches the Rfam family "tRNA". Rfam says of the family: Transfer RNA (tRNA) molecules are approximately 80 nucleotides in length. Their secondary structure includes four short double-helical elements and three loops (D, anti-codon, and T loops). Further hydrogen bonds mediate the characteristic L-shaped molecular structure. tRNAs have two regions of fundamental functional importance: the anti-codon, which is responsible for specific mRNA codon recognition, and the 3' end, to which the tRNAs corresponding amino acid is attached (by aminoacyl-tRNA synthetases). tRNAs cope with the degeneracy of the genetic code in two manners: having more than one tRNA (with a specific anti-codon) for a particular amino acid; and 'wobble' base-pairing, i.e. permitting non-standard base-pairing at the 3rd anti-codon position. Lineage: Eukaryota; Metazoa; Chordata; Testudines; Cheloniidae. The record is from Rfam by way of RNAcentral.
GGCAGUGGGUCUAGUGGCUAGGCCAAUUGACUGGGAGUCAAGAGAUUUGGGUUCUAGUCCCAGCUUUGCCA